Molecule: ribosomal RNA, 666 nt
Filed under: Curtobacterium sp.
Lineage: Bacteria; Bacillati; Actinomycetota; Actinomycetes; Micrococcales; Microbacteriaceae
Description: bacterial SSU rRNA
Rfam family: Bacterial small subunit ribosomal RNA
Source: RNAcentral
UGGGCGUAAGAGCUCGUAGGCGGUUUGUCGCGUCUGCUGUGAAAUCCCGAGGCUCAACCUCGGGCUUGCAGUGGGUACGGGCAGACUAGAGUGCGGUAGGGGAGAUUGGAAUUCCUGGUGUAGCGGUGGAAUGCGCAGAUAUCAGGAGGAACACCGAUGGCGAAGGCAGAUCUCUGGGCCGUAACUGACGCUGAGGAGCGAAAGCGUGGGGAGCGAACAGGAUUAGAUACCCUGGUAGUCCACGCCGUAAACGUUGGGCGCUAGAUGUAGGGACCUUUCCACGGUUUCUGUGUCGUAGCUAACGCAUUAAGCGCCCCGCCUGGGGAGUACGGGCCGCAAGGCUAAAACUCAAAGGGAAUUGACGGGGGGCCCGCACAAGCGGGCGGGAGCAUGCGGGAUUUAAUUCGAUGCAACGCGAAGAAACCUUUACCCAAGGCUUGGACAUACACCGGAAACGGGCCAGAGAUGGUCGCCCCCCUUGUGGUCGGGGUACAGGGGGUGCAUGGUUGUCGUCAGCUCGGUCGUGAGAUGUUGGGUUAGGUCCCCCCAAGGAGCGCAACCCCUCGUUCUAUGUUGCCAGCGCGUAUGGGCGGGGACUCAUAGGAAACUGCCGGGGUCAACUCGGGAGGAAGGGUGGGGGAUGACGUCAAAUCAUCAUGCCCCUUA